GUGAGGAAUAUUGGUCAAUGGGCGGGAGCCUGAACCAGCCAAGUCGCGUGAAGGAAGAAGGAUCUAUGGUUCGUAAACUUCUUUUGCAGGGGAAUAAAGUGCAGGACGUGUCCUGUUUUGUAUGUACCCUGAGAAUAAGGAUCGGCUAACUCCGUGCCAGCAGCCGCGGUAAUACGGAGGAUCCGAGCGUUAUCCGGAUUUAUUGGGUUUAAAGGGUGCGUAGGUGGUUUGAUAAGUCAGCGGUGAAAGUUUGCAGCUUAACUGUAAAAAUGCCGUGGAAACUGUCGGACUUGAGUGUAAAUGAGGUAGGCGGAAUGCGUGGUGUAGCGGUGAAAUGCAUAGAUAUCACGCAGAACUCCGAUUGCGAAGGCAGCUUACUAAGCUACAACUGACACUGAAGCACGAGAGCGUGGGGAUCAAACAGGAUUAGAAACCCUGGUAGUCC
This 445-nucleotide ribosomal RNA is filed under the name uncultured bacterium. RNAcentral describes it as "partial 16S ribosomal RNA". It matches the Rfam family "Bacterial small subunit ribosomal RNA", at positions 354 to 796 of the family's 1533-position model. The record is from RNAcentral.